Molecule: ribosomal RNA, 436 nt
Filed under: uncultured bacterium
Lineage: Bacteria
Description: partial 16S ribosomal RNA
Rfam family: Bacterial small subunit ribosomal RNA
Source: RNAcentral
AACGAACGCUGGCGGCAUGCCUAACACAUGCAAGUCGAACGAGAUCCUUCGGGGUCUAGUGGCGCACGGGUGCGUAACGCGUGGGAAUCUGCCCUUAGGUUCGGAAUAACAGUUAGAAAUGACUGCUAAUACCGGAUGAUGACGUUAAGUCCAAAGAUUUAUCGCCUCAGGAUGAGCCCGCGUAGGAUUAGCUAGUUGGUGUGGUAAAGGCGCACCAAGGCGACGAUCCUUAGCUGGUCUGAGAGGAUGAUCAGCCACACUGGGACUGAGACACGGCCCAGACUCCUACGGGAGGCAGCAGUGGGGAAUAUUGGACAAUGGGCGCAAGCCUGAUCCAGCAAUGCCGCGUGAGUGAUGAAGGCCUUAGGGUUGUAAAGCUCUUUUACCCGGGAUGAUAAUGACAGUACCGGGAGAAUAAGCCCCGGCUAACUCCGUG